This 74-nucleotide transfer RNA is filed under the name Murinocardiopsis flavida. RNAcentral describes it as "Nocardiopsis sp. 14-Be-013 tRNA". It matches the Rfam family "tRNA". Rfam says of the family: Transfer RNA (tRNA) molecules are approximately 80 nucleotides in length. Their secondary structure includes four short double-helical elements and three loops (D, anti-codon, and T loops). The record is from Rfam by way of RNAcentral. Lineage: Bacteria; Bacillati; Actinomycetota; Actinomycetes; Streptosporangiales; Nocardiopsidaceae.
GGGCGUGUAGCUCAGUUGGUCAGAGCACUCGGCUUACAACCGAGCGGUCGGAGGUUCGAGUCCUCUCGCGCCCA